Molecule: long non-coding RNA, 565 nt
Filed under: Pongo abelii (Sumatran orangutan)
Lineage: Eukaryota; Metazoa; Chordata; Mammalia; Primates; Hominidae
Description: lincRNA
Source: RNAcentral
UUGAUGUAGCAUUACAUGUUCUGCUUGCUGCAUUUUUGGGAGAAGUGCAUGCAGAUACUCAAGUGACUCACAGACAUGCAACAGCUCAGAAGGCCAUCCUGUUUGUCUUUCAGUGAGAAGGAAAAGAUCCAACUCCAUCAUACUCCUAAGAAAAAGCAUCUUCUGCUGAAGGCAUCAUGGGAGACCGGGAAGAGGAUUGGGAUGAAGCAAAACUCACGAAGCCCACUGUGAACACCUCAUGCCUUCCUUAAAAUCCCAUUCAGAGGCUGCACCGCUCUGUCUCAUCACUGUCCCCGACCUGCAGGCUCAGAACAGCCCCUCUGUGGCCCCCAACCCCAACCUAAUCCCAAGCAACUCAGCCCCAGCCCUCAGCAGCCCGCUCCACUCAGCCAGGAAUGCCAGUGGUUGGUGGGCCCUUGGAGGGCCCAACUCAUCACAUGUGGCAACAGCCAAGGAAGUGAGCCCUGGUCCUCCCUGCACAUUGGAAAUUAGGAGGGGGGAAAUUAUUGGGUCCAAAUUAAGUCUUGGAUUAAUGAAACGAAAUGUUUGAAAAGUACGGAAAUUA